RNAcentral lists this ribosomal RNA (448 nucleotides) under uncultured bacterium. RNAcentral's name for it is "bacterial SSU rRNA". It matches the Rfam family "Bacterial small subunit ribosomal RNA", at positions 29 to 520 of the family's 1533-position model. The record is from RNAcentral.
AGCGAACGCUGGCGGCAGGCCUAACACAUGCAAGUCGAACGGAUCCUUCGGGAUUAGUGGCGGACGGGUGAGUAACACGUGGGAACGUGCCCUUUGGUUCGGAACAACUCAGGGAAACUUGAGCUAAUACCGGAUGUGCCCUUCGGGGAAGGAUUAUCGCCAUUGGAGCGGCCCGCGUCUGAUUAGCUAGUUGGUGGGGUAAGGCCCACCAAGGCGACGAUCAGUAGCUGGUCUGAGAGGAUGAUCAGCCACAUUGGGACUGAGACACGGCCCGAAACUCCUACGGGAGGCAGCAGUGGGGAAGUCUUGCGCAAUGGGCGAAAGACCUGACGCAGCCAUGCCGCGUGAAUGAUGAAGGUCUUAGGAUUGUAAAAUUCUUUCACCGGGGGACGAUAAUGACGGUACCCGGAGAAAGAAGCCCCGGCUAACUUCGUGCCAGCAGCCGCCG